AUCAAAAGUCAAGUCGGGGGCUGUAAAGCUCUCGUCUACACCCAUGUCUUUUGCGUACUCUUGUUUCCUCGGUGGCGCAAGCUGCCGAUUGGACAAACCAAAACCUUUUUUGUAAUUGCAAUCAGCGUCUGAAAAUAAUCUAAUUAUUUACAACUUUCAACAACGGAUCUCUUGGUUCUGGCAUCGAUGAAGAACGCAGCGAAAUGCGAUAAGUAGUGUGAAUUGCAGAAUUCAGUGAAUCAUCGAAUCUUUGAACGCACAUUGCGCCCCUUGGUAUUCCAUGGGGCAUGCCUGUUCGAGCGUCAUUUGUACCCUCAAGCUUUGCUUGGUGUUGGGCGUCUUGUCGUAUUACGACUCGCCUUAAAUUCAUUGGCAGCCGGCACUUUGGCCUAGGAGCGCAGCACAUUUUGCGAUCGUAGCCCGUUGUACUGGCGUCCAUCAAGAACAUUUACCACGUUUGACCUCGGAUCAGGUAGGGAUACCCGCUGAACUUAAGCAUAUCAAUAAGCGGAGGAAAAGAAACCAACAGGGAUUGCCCUAGUAACGGCGAGUGAAGCGGCAACAGCUCAAAUUUGAAAUCUGGCUCUUUCAGAGUCCGAGUUGUAAUUUGCAGAGGGUGCUUUGG
This 625-nucleotide ribosomal RNA is filed under the name Ascomycota sp. morphotype no. 14. RNAcentral describes it as "eukaryotic LSU rRNA". The stretch from base 152 to 305 matches the Rfam family "5.8S ribosomal RNA". Lineage: Eukaryota; Fungi; Ascomycota. The record is from RNAcentral.